This is a non-coding RNA of Podarcis lilfordi (Lilford's wall lizard), 78 nucleotides long. Lineage: Eukaryota; Metazoa; Chordata; Lepidosauria; Squamata; Lacertidae. The record is from the annotation of a GenBank genome assembly.
AGCUGGAUAGCUCAGUUGAUUAGAGCGUGGUGCUGAUAAUGCCAAGAUUGCAGGUUUGAUCCCUGUAUGGAAUGGCUG